Molecule: ribosomal RNA, 253 nt
Filed under: uncultured bacterium
Lineage: Bacteria
Description: partial 16S ribosomal RNA
Rfam family: Bacterial small subunit ribosomal RNA
Source: RNAcentral
UACGGAGGGGGCUAGCGUUGUUCGGAAUUACUGGGCGUAAAGCGCGCGUAGGCGGCUUUGCAAGUCAGAGGUGAAAGCCCGGGGCUCAACCCCGGAAUUGCCUUUGAGACUGCAUCGCUAGAAUUGUGGAGAGGUAAGUGGAAUUCCGAGUGUAGAGGUGAAAUUCGUAGAUAUUCGGAAGAACACCAGUGGCGAAGGCGACUUACUGGACACAUAUUGACGCUGAGGUGCGAAAGCGUGGGGAGCAAACAGG